RNAcentral lists this ribosomal RNA (496 nucleotides) under uncultured bacterium. RNAcentral's name for it is "bacterial SSU rRNA". It matches the Rfam family "Bacterial small subunit ribosomal RNA", at positions 30 to 517 of the family's 1533-position model. The record is from RNAcentral.
AUUGAACGCUGGCGGCAUGCCUUACACAUGCAAGUCGAACGGUAACGGGCCUUCGGGUGCCGACGAGUGGCGAACGGGUGAGUAAUGCAUCGGAACGUACCUUUCAGUGGGGGAUAACGUAGCGAAAGUUACGCUAAUACCGCAUAUUCUGUGAGCAGGAAAGCAGGGGAUCGCAAGACCUUGCGCUGAUUGAGCGGCCGAUGUCAGAUUAGCUAGUUGGUGAGGUAAAGGCUCACCAAGGCGACGAUCUGUAGCGGGUCUGAGAGGAUGAUCCGCCACACUGGAACUGAGACACGGUCCAGACUCCUACGGGAGGCAGCAGUGGGGAAUUUUGGACAAUGGGGGCAACCCUGAUCCAGCCAUGCCGCGUGAGUGAAGAAGGCCUUCGGGUUGUAAAGCUCUUUCGGUCCGGGAAGAAAUACGUAUGGGCGUAAUACCCUGUGCGGAUGACGGUACCGGCAUAAGAAGACACCGGCUAACUACGUGCCAGCAGCCG